CCAGCCUAUGUUUUGGCAGCAUGUUCUCAUCUCCAUGCGGACAUGAGGUGCGAGAGAAAAUAUUUUACGACAAUUACGUAAUAUUUAUGAUGCGUGCGCACAUGCAACUUUUUUCUUCGUAAGGGAGAUAACUCUUAACUAAGCUCUUACUGAUGUGAAGUUACUCCAACAUAGGAUGCUAUAGAUCUGAUUUUAAAGAUUGUAGCACUAAAUUUAAUGAAGAAUGUUGCACAGUAUCCAUACGGUGGUGUACAGCUAAGUUUUCCAAAAAAAAUUCCUACUGAAUUUAGCCUCAUGUUGGACAAUGAGACUAAUGGAAUGACUAAGAAGAAACAUAGCCUUCUUCAGAAGUACCGAGUUAAACCACACGAUCUAUUAAUCACCUAUUCAUACCAUUGAAGAUAUAUAGACAUAUAUAUAUAUAUAUAUAUAUAUAUAUAUAUAUAUAUAUAUAUAUAUGUAUAUAUGUAUAUAUGAUCAUUGAAGCCUAAACCGAAUUUUAAAGGGAAGUUAUCAAAUUUUAAAGGGAAGGAAGUUGAUUUUAUAAGUCGUUCUAAAUUUUAAAGAAGUAUUUGUAAAAACGUUAUUAGCAGUGUAUUAUAAUGAUGAUGAUGAUGAUCUCUAUCGAAUUAUCGAUAAAUAGGUUUUUGCCUUAAAACACGAAUAAAAAUUAUUACAAGAAUAAAUUACUUGUUUUUACUCUUUUACUGGUUUUAUUCAUUGGACUGCGGCCAGCUGUGGCACCGCCUCCAAUAGUUUUGUUGAAUUUACCGACCAUUAACGUAGCUGGAGUGGGUGGUCCGCCCCGGGUGCACUUUUAUGGAGGCGGCACCACUUUUGGGUCUGUGUCGGCAAUAUGUAUUUUUUGUGGGGGCCGGGGGCGGCACACUAGCUAUGCUAGUGAUACCGAUCCUGGAGAAAUUAUUUCAAUUGUCCGUUUGUUUCUAUCAGUUCCUGGUAAACUUUCCGGAUUUUUGUGUCAUGAUUUUCUCCCGUUAACGAUACGGUUUUUCCCCUGCAUCUGAAUUUACCUAACGUAAAGGAAGCGAAAACAGUUUUGGUUUCUGUUUGAUACUCUAUAAAUUUGGAUCCACUAUAUAUUUUACUCACUUUUCGUAUCUGACGUGAGCAAAACAUUGAAUAUUAAUAGAAGAGAAAACGAUUAACAAUAAAUACACGAGACGCAAUUACUUAUCUACAAAAUUAAGGCUUUCAUCUCAUUUGACUGUUGGUUGUGGCGAAGAUUCAAAGCUUACUGAAGACCGCAACUCACAGGUGGAUGCUUAUUAAGGUAUAUCAAAAGAUUUCAUCAGAAGACAUUGUCAUUGCAAACAUUUUAAUCCAAGUCAUUGCUCUCACAUUAUGGGCAUAUCGUCACGUUUCAGUCACUGGAUACGAGCAAUGACCACAAUUACUGAAAGAAAAUUUUUAAAAAAUCUUAGUACACCUCCAGGGGACUUACGCUAUGAAAUUGAAAGAUUAUUGACGUUUUUUGAAAAUAUUCAUCCAAAGCUAACAUCUGUACAACUCUCUGGAAAUGGUUAUUAUUAUGAUACUACAGCAGAAAAAAUUAUGUGCUAUUUCUGUAAAACUGUAGUUAAAUUUUCAGAUUCCAGUUUCAAACAUGACCAUUCAUGUAGAUACAAAGUUGACAGUUUUCCAGUCUAUUUAUAUGAUGAAACAGAUGGUGAAAAUGCUGCAGCUUUUAAUGUUCAAAACACUGAACGAGAAACUGAGACUGUAGUAACAACUAGUACUGAAAAAGUUAUUAAUUCAAAUAAAAAUGAAAUGCUUGAUAUGCAAAAAAGACUGGAUACCUUUAAAAAUUGGAACAAAAGCGUGCCAGUAACACCCACAGAUCUUGCCAAGAAUGGAUUUUAUUACCUAGGUUAUGGAGAUGCUGUUAAAUGUGCAUACUGCUCUGUCCAACUGCGCAACUGGAAAGAAAAUGAUGAUGUCCAUAAAGAACAUACACGUUUUAGUCCGAAAUGUCCAAAUUUAGAAUCUUUUAUGAAAAUGGAUUUGAAAUACGAACUGAAUCGGAUAAAAAGUUUUGUCAAGUGGACGACAUCUUACCCAUUAAAAGCUAAAGAUUUGGCAGCUAAUGGUUUCUACCACAAGGGGCCUGCAGAUAAUGUCUGUUGUAUAUUUUGCAAAUGUGAAAUCAAUAAUUGGAAAGCCAAUGAUAAUAUUAAAGAAAAACACAGGUCAGUUUCACCGAACUGUCCUUUCUUGUGUGAGAAAUUGGUAGGUAAUGUACCUAUACAAGCUCGGAGUAACAUUCUAUUUGACCGCCCGAUACAUCCGAAUCUUGCUUUGUUAAGUGAACGCCUUAAAACAUUUUCUUCGUGGCCAAAGGAUAAAAAACAAAAACCAGAAGUUUUAGCAGAAGCUGGUUUUUUUCAUAAUGGAAAGUCUGAUACAGUAAUUUGUUUUAGCUGUGAUGGCGGUUUAUGUAAUUGGGAUGAUGAUGAUCAACCAUGGCAUGAACAUGCUCGAUGGUUUCCAAGAUGUACUUUUGUACAACAGAUGAAAGAUUCUAAGUACAUUGCAUCUGCAAGUAUGAAAAACAAAGCAUCUUCAUAUAACCAGGUGUUAGAUAAUGCUAGUUCAGUUCUAGAUGGCUCUGCAGAACCUACUGAAGGAUCAAGUACUAUUGAAGAUGUUACAACUUUCCCAAAUACUCCAACUUCAGAGUUUUCAGGAAAUUUUUAUGAAUUUGAAUUCUAUACAUGGGACUUCAUGCAAUUAUGCAAAAAAAAAAUUGUGGUAGAGUGUGAUUUAAGGCUUAGGCCUAUUUGGCUGCUAUUUUUAGCACACAUAACAACCAUCUCAAUAAAUGCGACAAAAAUAUUCAAUAAACAAGUCCACUUUUUUAAUACAAAGGGACAUUUCAUGUAUUCUUCCCAAAUCUCGAAAUCUUAAAUAUAAAUACUCAUGUUUGGAUACACCUCCAGUUCUGGCCGUUUUAUCUAUGGGUUAUAAACGAAAUGUAGUCAAAAGAGUAGUAAAGAAUAAAAUCAAAGAAACAGGUUCUUCUUUUUCAAAAGCAUCGCAGUUACUUGAAGCGAUCCAUAAAUGUCCUGAUUUUGAUGAUGAUAUUGAGGAUGUAAGUGAUGAAGAGGAGCCUGUCCAAACAACAAUAAAAAAUGACACUGAAAUGUCUGCUA
Unclassified non-coding RNA from Octopus bimaculoides (California two-spot octopus), 3170 nucleotides. Lineage: Eukaryota; Metazoa; Mollusca; Cephalopoda; Octopoda; Octopodidae. The record is from RefSeq and is a predicted model, not a curated record.